AUUCACUUGUGAAAGUUUGGCAAAAUACGGUAAAUGUGUGUAAAGUCAUAAAGGUACAGCAACAAACAGUGUGUUUAAUUGGGAAAACUGUCAUGCAAUAUUAGAAAAUGAAUGUUUUUGGUGCAAUAUGCUUUAUCUGAUAUUAUCAAAUAACACUAGGGGAAAAUAUUUUUUUUUCUAUGCUCUAAAAAACAAACUCCACUAAUGCAGAUAGUGAAUUUGACUUUCUCUUUUCCUUUCUCUUCCGCCCAUCUCUUUCUCUUGCAGGUCUCUGUCCCCUUGAUAAAGAGCGGUUUGAAUAUCAAUGAGGUUUAUUCUCUCCCGGGUCUGCAGCCAGCUGUUAAAGAAUUGUGAUGGGCAAUGGUCCGAGUUGUGAACACAGAAGUUGUGGGCUCAAACUCAAGCAGUGUUGACCCAGGAACUGAGAAGUGCUAUGAUUUCAGCCCCAUUCUGUCACCGUUCUUCCCUGGAGCGUGACACUUCCUCAUGUUCCGCCCCAGGUUGUUCCAGAGGGUCUGUCCUGGCAAUUAGUGUAACUGAAAGUCACUUUAAAUGAGAAUGUAUGUGCUACAAAGCUGAGUGACUAAAUGGAUUGCCUGUUUAAAAUCCAGACAGACCAUAGGAGGUUUGAAAUAUCAUGUUAACAUUAAACUGUGCUCAUAACGUUUUAUGCUUUGUAUCCGUUUCUAAAUACCAACCCAAGGUCAUUGGAAAAAAACAUGUCUGUGGUGAUAUUUCCUCAGAAUGAUGUUAUGUUGCUUCCUGCACAUUUUGUUACACUUUCAAAGUGGAAUAUCCAGUGAGUGGCGUUAAAAGCAUCCAAAAUGGAUGAACAUGAAUAUGGCGAUAUUUCAUUCUGUUUGUUGUUGAACAUAUUGUGGCAGGUCAGAAAUGAAAUAUCCAGUGAGUAGCAUUAAAAGGAUAAUUCUCUAUCGCAUUUGAAAACGGCAUACCACUACACUAAACCUAACUGGUAAUGUUAACAGAAAACACAUUCGCUGAAGCAACCAAGCCUUUAUAAACUUGCUUCUAUACCUGAGCACUCUGCAUUGCAAUUGCAGUGCUGUACCAGGUGAGCUACCAAGCAAGUUUACCACACCAGAAAAGCCGUACAUAUGGAUUUGAUUACAUGAAAGUGUAUUAGUUUAUGAAUCAUGCAUAGUAUUGUGCUAGGAACCCU
This is a long non-coding RNA of Cyprinus carpio (common carp), 1180 nucleotides long. The record is from Ensembl. NCBI's taxonomy places the organism in Eukaryota, Metazoa, Chordata, Actinopteri, Cypriniformes, Cyprinidae.